AAGUCGUGACAAGGUUUCCGUAGGUGAACCUGCAGAAGGAUUAUCACGAGAGGACACUGCAAAGCGCACCACAACACUGUGUUACUGAGCGAUGAGUGCAGCAUGGCAAGCACCUGCUGCACACGUCUAUUGACACUAUGCAAACUGAACUAGCUGAACAGCAAGCAACCAACAAACACAACUGUUAGCAACGGAUCACUUGGUUCUC
This 208-nucleotide unclassified non-coding RNA is filed under the name fungal sp. RNAcentral's name for it is "partial internal transcribed spacer region". The stretch from base 1 to 46 matches the Rfam family "Eukaryotic small subunit ribosomal RNA", at positions 1786 to 1831 of the family's 1831-position model. Lineage: Eukaryota; Fungi. The record is from RNAcentral.